CGGUGGGGUCUCCUAUAGGGCGGGUCGCGUGGUUCUUUUGGUGUGGGUUUUGAAGAUCAGUGGCGGACGGGUGGGGAACACGUGGGCAAGCGGCCUGUAAGACUGGGAUAACUUCGGGAAACCGGAGCUAAUACCGGAUAAUCCUUUCCCUCACAUGAGGGAAAGCUGAAAGACGGUUUCGGCUGUCACUUACAGAUGGGCCCGCGGCGCAUUAGCUAGUUGGUGAGGUAACGGCUCACCAAGGCCACGAUGCGUAGCCGACCUGAGAGGGUGAUCGGCCACACUGGGACUGAGACACGGCCCAGACUCCUACGGGAGGCAGCAGUAGGGAAUCUUCCGCAAUGGACGAAAGUCUGACGGAGCAACGCCGCGUGAACGAUGAAGGCUUUCGGGUCGUAAAGUUCUGUUGUCAGGGAAGAACAAGUACCGGAGUAACUGCCGGUACCUUGACGGUACCUGACCAGAAAGCCACGGCUAACUACGUGCCAGCAGCCGCGGUAAUACGUAGGUGGCAAGCGUUGUCCGGAAUUAUUGGGCGUAAAGCGCGCGCAGGCGGUUCCUUAAGUCUGAUGUGAAAGCCCCCGGCUCAACCGGGGAGGGUCAUUGGAAACUGGGGAACUUGAGUGCAGAAGAGGAGAGCGGAAUUCCACGUGUAGCGGUGAAAUGCGUAGAGAUGUGGAGGAACACCAGUGGCGAAGGCGGCUCUCUGGUCUGUAACUGACGCUGAGGCGCGAAAGCGUGGGGAGCGAACAGGAUUAGAUACCCUGGUAGUCCACGCCGUAAACGAUGAGUGCUAAGUGUUAGAGGGUUUCCGCCCUUUAGUGCUGCAGCAAACGCAUUAAGCACUCCGCCUGGGGAGUACGGCCGCAAGGCUGAAACUCAAAGGAAUUGACGGGGGCCCGCACAAGCGGUGGAGCAUGUGGUUUAAUUCGAAGCAACGCGAGAACCUUACCAGGUCUUGACAUCCUCUGACAACCCUAGAGAUAGGGCGUUCCCCUUCGGGGGACAGAGUGACAGGUGGUGCAUGGGUUGUCGUCAGCCUCGUGUCGUGAGAUGUUGGGUUAAGUCCCGCAACGAGCGCCAACCCUUGGAUCUUAG
This 1098-nucleotide ribosomal RNA is filed under the name Mesobacillus selenatarsenatis. RNAcentral's name for it is "bacterial SSU rRNA". It matches the Rfam family "Bacterial small subunit ribosomal RNA", at positions 40 to 1117 of the family's 1533-position model. Lineage: Bacteria; Bacillati; Bacillota; Bacilli; Caryophanales; Bacillaceae. The record is from RNAcentral.